This is a non-coding RNA of Callorhinus ursinus (northern fur seal), 143 nucleotides long. NCBI's taxonomy places the organism in Eukaryota, Metazoa, Chordata, Mammalia, Carnivora, Otariidae. The record is from RefSeq and is a predicted model, not a curated record.
UCGUGAUAGCAGCCCUCACUUCCCUGUGAGCUGCAGCCUCGACAAUGGAACGAAGACAGUCCCUCAGUGCACUAGCUGUGUGUGUCAUCUGCAGAGCAAGGGUGUCCUCUUGCUGUGGCUCUUACACCCCACUUAGAAAUAGC